AUGAGCACAACUGCCAGAAGUGGCUAUCAGUACUUCGUGACUUUUACCGACGACUUGAGUAGAUAUGGAUAUAUCUAUUUGAUGAGGCACAAGUCAGAGACUUUUGAAAAGUUCAAAGAGUUUCAGAACGAGGUUGAGAAUCAGCUCGGCAAGACUAUAAAACUUCUACGAUCUGAUCGUGGAGGUGAGUACAUGAGCCAGGAGUUUGAUGAUCAUCUGAAAAGUUGA
This 228-nucleotide ribosomal RNA is filed under the name Triticum aestivum (bread wheat). Its description in RNAcentral is "partial small subunit ribosomal RNA". Lineage: Eukaryota; Viridiplantae; Streptophyta; Magnoliopsida; Poales; Poaceae. The record is from RNAcentral.